This is a non-coding RNA of Pelobates cultripes (western spadefoot toad), 103 nucleotides long. NCBI's taxonomy places the organism in Eukaryota, Metazoa, Chordata, Amphibia, Anura, Pelobatidae. The record is from the annotation of a GenBank genome assembly.
UUCUGUCACUGAUGAUGCUGAGGGCUGAAGGAGGAGGAGCAUGUCUACCAUGCUCCCUCGCGGUUCCAUGCUCCUCCUCCUUCAGCCCUCAGCAUUAUCAGUG